Molecule: long non-coding RNA, 224 nt
Filed under: Daucus carota (carrot)
Lineage: Eukaryota; Viridiplantae; Streptophyta; Magnoliopsida; Apiales; Apiaceae
Description: long non-coding RNA (DCAR_LNC000235)
Source: RNAcentral
CCUGUUUGGUUGCAGGAAGCAGCUUCUGCUUCUGGCUCCUGCUUUUCUUGAUCCGUUUGUGUAAAGAAGUAGAAGCACUUUUAAGAAGCUGUGAAUGCUAGCUUCUCUCUCACAGCUUCUGCUUCUUUUCCAAACACUUUAUUAACUUAUUUACUUCUCACUUCUGCUUCACUUCUUUAGUUUAAGCAAGAAGUCACUUCUUUUAAGCCUACCCAAACGGCCCC